RNAcentral lists this ribosomal RNA (231 nucleotides) under uncultured bacterium. RNAcentral's name for it is "partial 16S ribosomal RNA". It matches the Rfam family "Bacterial small subunit ribosomal RNA", at positions 99 to 334 of the family's 1533-position model. The record is from RNAcentral.
CGGACGGGUGAGUAAUGUCUGGGAAACUGCCUGAUGGAGGGGGAUAACUACUGGAAACGGUAGCUAAUACCGCAUAACGUCGCAAGACCAAAGAGGGGGACCUUAGGGCCUCUUGCCAUCGGAUGUGCCCAGAUGGGAUUAGCUAGUAGGUGGGGUAAGGCUCACCUAGGCGACGAUCCCUAGCUGGUCUGAGAGGAUGACCAGCCACACUGGAACUGAGACACGGUCCAG